Molecule: ribosomal RNA, 329 nt
Filed under: uncultured Bacillota bacterium
Lineage: Bacteria; Bacillati; Bacillota
Description: bacterial SSU rRNA
Rfam family: Bacterial small subunit ribosomal RNA
Source: RNAcentral
GAUGAACGCUGGCGGCGUGCCUAAUACAUGCAAGUCGAACGAAGAGCUUUUGUAGUAAUACAGAGGUUUCUUAGUGGCGAACGGGUGAGUAACGCGUGGGUAACCUGCCCUGUACACACGGAUAACAUACCGAAAGGUAUGCUAAUACGAGAUGAUAUGCUUUUAUCGCAUGGUAGAAGUAUCAAAGCUUUUGCGGUACAGGAUGGACCCGCGUCUGAUUAGCUAGUUGGUAAGGUAACGGCUUACCAAGGCGACGAUCAGUAGCCGACCUGAGAGGGUGAUCGGCCACAUUGGAACUGAGACACGGUCCAAACUCCUACGGGAGGCAG